GACGAACGCUGGCGGCGUGCUUAACACAUGCAAGUCGAACGGAAAGGCCCCCAUCUUGGUGGGGGUGCUCGAGUGGCGAACGGGUGAGUAACACGUGGGUGAUCUGCCCUGUACUUCGGGAUAAGCUUGGGAAACUGGGUCUAAUACCGGAUAGGACCAUGGUUUAGUGUCUCAUGGUGGAAAGAUUAUUGUUUUGGUGCAGGAUGAGCUCGCAGCCUAUCAGCUUGUUGGUGGGGUAAUGGCCUACCAAGGCGUCGACGGGUAGCCGGCCUGAGAGGGUGGACGGCCACAUUGGGACUGAGACACGGCCCAGACUCCUACGGGAGGCAGCAGUGGGGAAUAUUGCACAAGGGGCGCAAGCCUGAUGCAGCGACGCCGCGUGGGGGAUGACGGCCUUCGGGUUGUAAACUCCUUUCGUUAGGGACGAAGCCACGCUUGUUGGGUGUGGUGACGGUACCUUUGUUAAGAAGCACCGGCUAACUACGUG
This 487-nucleotide ribosomal RNA is filed under the name uncultured bacterium. RNAcentral describes it as "partial 16S ribosomal RNA". It matches the Rfam family "Bacterial small subunit ribosomal RNA", at positions 28 to 507 of the family's 1533-position model. The record is from RNAcentral.